Small nuclear RNA from Vombatus ursinus (common wombat), 100 nucleotides. NCBI's taxonomy places the organism in Eukaryota, Metazoa, Chordata, Mammalia, Diprotodontia, Vombatidae. The record is from Ensembl.
GUGCAUGCGUGUGUGUGUACUAAACUGGAAUGUUAGAGAGAAGAUUAGCAUGAUCUCUGUGCAAAGAGACAUAAGCAUUUGUGAAACAUCCCAUAUUUUG